Molecule: long non-coding RNA, 477 nt
Filed under: Theobroma cacao (cacao)
Lineage: Eukaryota; Viridiplantae; Streptophyta; Magnoliopsida; Malvales; Malvaceae
Description: long non-coding RNA (TCAC_LNC005055)
Source: RNAcentral
AAGAAGAAGCUUAUCUUAGGAAUGGAGACUGAGGAAUAUUUGCUGAAGUCAUAGCAUGUGUCCAGGAUUGCAAGUGCUUGUGCCCUUGGGUAUUGGGUCAUCUUCUGUCGGAAUGAAGACCUCAGUGCCGCGUAGGCAGUCGGUGGCAACCGCGUGAUGACGGUUCCGGAGUCAAUGAUGGUGCCGGCGGUGGUGAAAAGGGAUGCUGAGAUCGAUAGUUUUUGGCCGCCGACGCUUAUUCCAGUGAUGUCGAUGCCGUAAAAGGAUUCCCCUUGGGAGACUGUGGACAAUGUGGUGAACUUCACGGAUUUUGAGACUCCACCACCGUAGCCAAAAGCGAGGAAACCAUCUGAGCUGGCAGAUGACGGCAAGCAGUAGGAGAAGAAUUUCUUGUAUUUUGAGGCGGUUUGUGAUGGCAAAGACAAUUGAUCUCGGCCAAGUCCUAGCAAACCGGCUGAGCCACCAAAAAGACCUUGG